CCCGCUUGGGGACUACGCCCGCAAGGUUAAAACUCAAAGGAAUUGACGGACCCCGCACAAGCAGCGGAGCGUGUGGUUUAAUUCGAUGCUAAGCGAAGAACCUUACCUGGGCUUGACAUGCAAGUGGUACCGAACUGAAAAGUGAGGGACCCGCAAGGGAGCUUGCACAGGUGCUGCAUGGCUGUCGUCAGCUCGUGCCGUGAGGUGUUGGUUUAAGUACCGCAACGAGCGCAACCCUCGUCGUUAGUUGUAUUUUCUAGCGAGACUGCCCGAAAGGGAGGAAGGUGGGGAUGACGUCAAGUCAUCAUGGCUCUUACGUCCAGGGCUACACACACGCUACAAUGGCCGGUACAGACGGCUGCGAAACCGCGAGGUGGAGCUAAUCCGAAAAAACCGGCCCCAGUUGGAAUUGCAGGCUGCAACUCGCCUGCAUGAACGUGGAGUUGCUAGUAAACGCAGGUCAGCAUACUGCGUUGAAUACGUUCCCGGGGUUUGUACACACCGCCCGUCACGUCAUGGAAGUUGGCAACGCUUGAAGUCGCUGGGCUAACCCGUUUAUUCGGGAGGCAGGUGCCGAGAGUGGGGCCGAUGACUGGGACG
This 600-nucleotide ribosomal RNA is filed under the name uncultured bacterium. RNAcentral's name for it is "bacterial SSU rRNA". It matches the Rfam family "Bacterial small subunit ribosomal RNA", at positions 868 to 1482 of the family's 1533-position model. The record is from RNAcentral.